ACGGGGGGAGCAAGCGUUGUUCGGAUUUACUGGGCGUAAAGGGCGCGUAGGCGGCCACCGCAAGUCGACUGUGAAAUCCCCGGGCUCAACCUGGGAAUUGCAUUUGUGACUGCAGCGCUGGAGUGCGGCAGAGGGAGAUGGAAUUCCGCGUGUAGCAGUGAAAUGCGUAGAUAUGCGGAGGAACACCGAUGGCGAAGGCAAUCUCCUGGGCCUGCACUGACGCUCAUGCACGAAAGCGUGGGGAGCAAACAGGA
This 254-nucleotide ribosomal RNA is filed under the name uncultured prokaryote. Its description in RNAcentral is "partial 16S ribosomal RNA". It matches the Rfam family "Bacterial small subunit ribosomal RNA", at positions 525 to 777 of the family's 1533-position model. The record is from RNAcentral.